This is a non-coding RNA of Caenorhabditis elegans, 142 nucleotides long. Lineage: Eukaryota; Metazoa; Nematoda; Chromadorea; Rhabditida; Rhabditidae. The record is from Ensembl.
UGAUCAUCAUAUCAAUGACUGGACGUUUGAUCACACGUGUUACGUCACACGCGGCGCUUGCGCCAAAAUGUGUCUUCCGCGCGGAAAGCGACCGCAAACAUUUGAUCAGAUCGACGACAAUGCAAAUAUUCUCACAAAAAAC